CUACGGGCGGCAGCAGUGGGGAAUAUUGCACAAUGGAGGAAACUCUGAUGCAGCAACGCCGCGUGGAGGAUGACACUUUUCGGAGCGUAAACUCCUUUUAUAUAGGAAGAUAAUGACGGUACUAUAUGAAUAAGCACCGGCUAACUCCGUGCCAGCAGCCGCGGUAAUACGGAGGGUGCAAGCGUUACUCGGAAUCACUGGGCGUAAAGAGCGUGUAGGCGGGUUAAUAAGUCAGAAGUGAAAUCCUAUGGCUCAACCAUAGAACUGCUUUUGAAACUGUUAACCUAGAGUGUGGGAGAGGUAGAUGGAAUUUCUGGUGUAGGGGUAAAAUCCGUAGAGAUCAGAAGGAAUACCGAUUGCGAAGGCGAUCUACUGGAACAUAACUGACGCUGAGACGCGAAAGCAUGGGGAGCAAACAGGAUUAGAUACCCUUGUAGUC
This 439-nucleotide ribosomal RNA is filed under the name uncultured bacterium. RNAcentral's name for it is "partial 16S ribosomal RNA". It matches the Rfam family "Bacterial small subunit ribosomal RNA", at positions 339 to 795 of the family's 1533-position model. The record is from RNAcentral.